This 403-nucleotide ribosomal RNA is filed under the name uncultured bacterium. Its description in RNAcentral is "bacterial SSU rRNA". It matches the Rfam family "Bacterial small subunit ribosomal RNA", at positions 355 to 776 of the family's 1533-position model. The record is from RNAcentral.
UGGGGAAUCUUGCGCAAUGGGGGGAACCCUGACGCAGCGACGCCGCGUGCGGGAUGGAGGCCUUCGGGUCGUGAACCGCUUUCAGCAGGGACGAGACUGACGGUACCUGCAGAAGAAGCCCCGGCUAACUACGUGCCAGCAGCCGCGGUAAUACGUAGGGGGCGAGCGUUAUCCGGAUUCAUUGGGCGUAAAGCGCGCGUAGGCGGCCGCGCAGGCGGGGGGUCAAAUCCCGGGGCUCAACCCCGGGCCGCCCCCCGAACCGCGCGGCUUGGGUCCGGCAGGGGAGGGUGGAACGCCCGGUGUAGCGGUGGAAUGCGCAGAUAUCGGGCGGAACACCGGUGGCGAAGGCGGCCCUCUGGGCCGGCACCGACGCUGAGGCGCGAGAGCUAGGGGAGCGAACAGG